This 333-nucleotide unclassified non-coding RNA is filed under the name Hevea brasiliensis (rubber tree). Lineage: Eukaryota; Viridiplantae; Streptophyta; Magnoliopsida; Malpighiales; Euphorbiaceae. The record is from RNAcentral.
GCUUGUAGAAUUGUUAAUCAAAAUACUGAGUCUGUAGGAGUAUUGUAAAAGAGUGGUACGAGCUAUUUUUUUUUGCUGUGGAAGGAAAGAAGCCUACUGUUUACAUUUAAAUUUUAUUUUUAUUUUUUCUAUUAUUAUUAUUUUUUGAAAAUGUUUGUACAGUCUUAUGGAGUUAAGGGUACUACUCUUUCAUCGUUCUGGUCUCUAGAGGAGGCAAAUGCCGCUCAUUUGUGGUGACCACUUUGUCGAACUUGUCAGAUCAAAAUAUUUAUCUCAUUUACCGGCCUCGUGGAUUUACAGUCCGCCGAUUGAUUGCCGAAGCUUAUACUAAUU